AAAGAGCGGUGGAGGGCUAAGAAGAGAGAAUGCCGGAAUGAGUAGCGAGACUGAAGUGAGAAUCUUCAGGACCGAAUAUCCAAGGUUUCUAGGGUAAAGCUUGUCUUCCCUGGGUUAGUAGGGGCCUAAGGCGAGGUCGAAGGACGUAGUCGAUGGACAGCAGGUUGAUAUUCCUGCACUACUGUAUAUCAGAACUGUGAGGACGCGGUUUAAAGAGGUGAGUCAAGUGAAGGAACUUGAUUGGACAUGGAGGCCAGGUUAGGGGCAAAUACCUUAACGGAAUGGUAAGGACAUGAACGAUAGGGAACAAUAAAAGUACCGAAAGAGCUGAAUAAACUGCCAAGAAAAGUCACUAUUGCGUAUAUAGUACCCGUACCGCAAACCGACACAGGUGGAUGAGGAGAGAAUCCUAAGGUCGACGGGAGAAGUAUUGUUAAGGAACUCGGCAAAAGUGCCCCGUAACUUCGGGAGAAGGGGUGCUGAUAGUAAUCUGCCGCAGUGAAUAGGCCCAAGCAACUGUUUAGCAAAAACACAGGUCUAUGCGAAACCGAGAGGUGAAGUAUAUGGGCUGACGCCUGCCCGGUGCUGGAAGGUUAAGAGGAGAGGUUAGCGUAAGCGAAGCUUUGAAUCCAAGCCCCAGUAAACGGCGGCCGUAACUAUAACGGUCCUAAGGUAGCGAAAUUCCUUGUCGGGUAAGUUCCGACCCGCACGAAAGGCGUGAUGAUUUGGGCACUGUCUCGACAAUACACCCGGUGAAAUUGAAAUGCCAGUGAAGAUGCUGGCGACCUGCGCCAGGACGGAAAGACCCCAUGGAGCUUUACUCUAGCUUGGCACUGGAGAUUGAUAUGACAUGUACAGGAUAGGUGGGAGACUGAGAAAUAUGGACGUCAGUUUAUAUGGAGUCACUGUUGGGAUACCACCCUUGUUAUAUUGAUUUUCUAACCUACACUCAUGAAACUGGGUGGGGGACAAUGCCUGGUGGGGAGUUUGACUGGGGCGGUCGCCUCCGAAAGGGUAUCGGAGGCGCUCAAAGGUUCCCUCAGAAUGGAUGGAAACCAUUCGAAGAGUGCAAAGGCAGAAGGGAGCUUAACUGCGAGGGUGACGGCCCGAGCAGAUAGGAAACUAGGACUUAGUGAUCCGGUGGUAUAAAGUGGGAUUGCCAUCGCUCAACGGAUAAAAGCUACCCUGGGAUAACAGGCUUAUCCCUCCCAAGAGUUCACAUCGACGGAGUGGUUUGGCACCUCGAUGUCGGCUCAUCGCAUCCCGGGGCUGUAGCAGGUCCCAAGGGUUGGGCUGUUCGCCCAUUAAAGCGGUACGCGAGCUGGGUUCAGAACGUCGUGAGACAGUUCGGUCCCUAUCCGGCGUGGGCGUGGGAUAAUUGAAGGGAGCCGUCCCUAGUUCGAGAGGACCGGGAUGUACGGACCACUGGUGUAUCGGUUGUACUGCCAAGUGCAUAGCCGAGUAGCCAAGUCCGGAAAGGAUAAACGCUGAAAGCAUCUAAGCGUGAAGCCCCCCCUAAGAUGAGUUAUCCAUUACGUAAGUAGAGAGAUUCCUUGUAGACUACGAGGUAGAUAGGGCAGAGGUGUAAGUACAGUGAUGUAUUUAGCUGACUGUCACUAAUAGAUCGAAAACUUGAUCA
Molecule: ribosomal RNA, 1639 nt
Filed under: metagenome
Description: bacterial LSU rRNA
Rfam family: Bacterial large subunit ribosomal RNA
Source: RNAcentral